RNAcentral lists this ribosomal RNA (301 nucleotides) under uncultured bacterium. Its description in RNAcentral is "partial 16S ribosomal RNA". It matches the Rfam family "Bacterial small subunit ribosomal RNA", at positions 509 to 807 of the family's 1533-position model. The record is from RNAcentral.
CAGUCGCCGCGGGAAUACAGAGGGUGCGAGCGUUAAUCGGAUUUACUGGGCGUAAAGCGUGCGUAGGCGGCUUCUUAAGUCGGAUGUGAAAUCCCUGAGCUUAACUUAGGAAUUGCAUUCGAUACUGGGAAGCUAGAGUAUGGGAGAGGAUGGUAGAAUUCCAGGUGUAGCGGUGAAAUGCGUAGAGAUCUGGAGGAAUACCGAUGGCGAAGGCAGCCAUCUGGCCUAACACUGACGCUGAGGUACGAAAGCAUGGGGAGCAAACAGGAUUAGAGACCCCAGUAGUCCCUGUCUCUUAUAC